Molecule: ribosomal RNA, 444 nt
Filed under: uncultured bacterium
Lineage: Bacteria
Description: bacterial SSU rRNA
Rfam family: Bacterial small subunit ribosomal RNA
Source: RNAcentral
AGAGUUUGAUCCUGGCUCAGGACGAACGCUGGCGGCGUGCUUAACACAUGCAAGUCGAACGGUGAAGUCCCUUCGGGGGCGGAUCAGUGGCGAACGGGUGAGUAACACGUGGGCAAUCUGCCCCUCACUGUGGGAUAACUCCGGGAAACCGGGGCUAAUACCGCAUAUGAAGCCUGGCGGCAUCGCCGGGUUUGGAAAGUUUUUCGGUGAGGGAUGAGCCCGCGGCCUAUCAGCUUGUUGGUGAGGUAAUGGCUCACCAAGGCGACGACGGGUAGCCGGCCUGAGAGGGCGACCGGCCACACUGGGACUGAGACACGGCCCAGACUCCUACGGGAGGCAGCAGUGGGGAAUAUUGGGCAAUGGGCGAAAGCCUGACCCAGCGACGCCGCGUGCGGAUGGAAGGCCUUCGGGUUGUAAACCGCUUUCAGCAGGGAAGAAGCGAAA